AUUGAACGCUGGCGGCGUGCUUAACACAUGCAAGUCGUGCGGUAACAGGCGUAGCAAUACGUGCUGACGAGCGGCGAACGGGUGCGUAAUACAUGGGAAUCUGCCUUUUAGUGGGGAAUAACCCGGCGAAAGCCGGGCUAAUGCCGCAUAAGAUCUUCGGAGUGAAAGCGGGGGAUCGUAAGACCUCGCGCUGAUAGAUGAGCCCAUGCCGGAUUAGCAGUUGGUGAGGUAACGGCUCACCAAGGCGACGAUCCGUAGCUGGUCUGAGAGGACGGCCAGCCACACUGGGACUGAGACACGGCCCAGACUCCUACGGAGGCAGCAGUGGGAAUAUUGGACAAUGGGGGAAACCCUGAUCCAGCGA
RNAcentral lists this ribosomal RNA (364 nucleotides) under uncultured bacterium. RNAcentral describes it as "bacterial SSU rRNA". It matches the Rfam family "Bacterial small subunit ribosomal RNA", at positions 30 to 394 of the family's 1533-position model. The record is from RNAcentral.